RNAcentral lists this ribosomal RNA (2891 nucleotides) under Pseudomonas savastanoi pv. glycinea. RNAcentral's name for it is "bacterial LSU rRNA". It matches the Rfam family "Bacterial large subunit ribosomal RNA". Lineage: Bacteria; Pseudomonadati; Pseudomonadota; Gammaproteobacteria; Pseudomonadales; Pseudomonadaceae. RNAcentral also lists the same sequence under 1 other name. The record is from RNAcentral.
UCAAGUGAAGAAGCGCAUACGGUGGAUGCCUUGGCAGUCAGAGGCGAUGAAAGACGUGGUAGCCUGCGAAAAGCUUCGGGGAGUCGGCAAACAGACUGUGAUCCGGAGAUGUCUGAAUGGGGGAACCCAGCCAUCAUAAGAUGGUUAUCUUGUACUGAAUACAUAGGUGCAAGAGGCGAACCAGGGGAACUGAAACAUCUAAGUACCCUGAGGAAAAGAAAUCAACCGAGAUUCCCUUAGUAGUGGCGAGCGAACGGGGACCAGCCCUUAAGUUGUAUUGAGAUUAGCGGAACGUUCUGGAAAGGACGGCCAUAGUGGGUGAUAGCCCUGUACGCGAAAAUCCCUUUGCAAUGAAAUCGAGUAGGACGGGGCACGAGAAACCUUGUCUGAAUAUGGGGGGACCAUCCUCCAAGGCUAAAUACUACUGACUGACCGAUAGUGAACCAGUACCGUGAGGGAAAGGCGAAAAGAACCGCGGAGAGCGGAGUGAAAUAGAUCCUGAAACCGUAUGCGUACAAGCAGUGGGAGCCCACUUUGUUGGGUGACUGCGUACCUUUUGUAUAAUGGGUCAGCGACUUAUUUUCAGUGGCGAGCUUAACCGAAUAGGGGAGGCGUAGCGAAAGCGAGUCUUAAUAGGGCGUCUAGUCGCUGGGAAUAGACCCGAAACCGGGCGAUCUAUCCAUGGGCAGGUUGAAGGUUGGGUAACACUAACUGGAGGACCGAACCGACUACCGUUGAAAAGUUAGCGGAUGACCUGUGGAUCGGAGUGAAAGGCUAAUCAAGCUCGGAGAUAGCUGGUUCUCCUCGAAAGCUAUUUAGGUAGCGCCUCAUGUAUCACUGUAGGGGGUAGAGCACUGUUUCGGCUAGGGGGUCAUCCCGACUUACCAAACCGAUGCAAACUCCGAAUACCUACAAGUGCCGAGCAUGGGAGACACACGGCGGGUGCUAACGUCCGUCGUGAAAAGGGAAACAACCCAGACCGUCAGCUAAGGUCCCAAAGUCAUGGUUAAGUGGGAAACGAUGUGGGAAGGCUUAGACAGCUAGGAGGUUGGCUUAGAAGCAGCCACCCUUUAAAGAAAGCGUAAUAGCUCACUAGUCGAGUCGGCCUGCGCGGAAGAUGUAACGGGGCUCAAACCAUGCACCGAAGCUACGGGUAUCAUCUUUUGAUGAUGCGGUAGAGGAGCGUUCUGUAAGCCUGUGAAGGUGAGUUGAGAAGCUUGCUGGAGGUAUCAGAAGUGCGAAUGCUGACAUGAGUAACGACAAUGGGUGUGAAAAACACCCACGCCGAAAGACCAAGGUUUCCUGCGCAACGUUAAUCGACGCAGGGUUAGUCGGCCCCUAAGGCGAGGCUGAAAAGCGUAGUCGAUGGAAAACAGGUUAAUAUUCCUGUACUUCUGGUUAUUGCGAUGGAGGGACGGAGAAGGCUAGGCCAGCCUGGCGUUGGUUGUCCAGGUUUAAGGUGGUAGGCUGAGAUCUUAGGUAAAUCCGGGAUUUCAAGGCCGAGAGCUGAUGACGAGUGUUCUUUAGAACACGAAGUGGUUGAUGCCAUGCUUCCAAGAAAAGCUUCUAAGCUUCAGGUAACCAGGAACCGUACCCCAAACCGACACAGGUGGUUGGGUAGAGAAUACCAAGGCGCUUGAGAGAACUCGGGUGAAGGAACUAGGCAAAAUGGCACCGUAACUUCGGGAGAAGGUGCGCCGGUGAGGGUGAAGCAUUUACUGCGUAAGCCCACGCCGGUCGAAGAUACCAGGCCGCUGCGACUGUUUAUUAAAAACACAGCACUCUGCAAACACGAAAGUGGACGUAUAGGGUGUGACGCCUGCCCGGUGCCGGAAGGUUAAUUGAUGGGGUUAGCGCAAGCGAAGCUCUUGAUCGAAGCCCCGGUAAACGGCGGCCGUAACUAUAACGGUCCUAAGGUAGCGAAAUUCCUUGUCGGGUAAGUUCCGACCUGCACGAAUGGCGUAACGAUGGCGGCGCUGUCUCCACCCGAGACUCAGUGAAAUUGAAAUCGCUGUGAAGAUGCAGUGUAUCCGCGGCUAGACGGAAAGACCCCGUGAACCUUUACUAUAGCUUUGCACUGGACUUUGAAUUUGCUUGUGUAGGAUAGGUGGGAGGCUUUGAAGCGUGGACGCCAGUCUGCGUGGAGCCAACCUUGAAAUACCACCCUGGCAACUUUGAGGUUCUAACUCAGGUCCGUUAUCCGGAUCGAGGACAGUGUAUGGUGGGUAGUUUGACUGGGGCGGUCUCCUCCUAAAGAGUAACGGAGGAGUACGAAGGUGCGCUCAGACCGGUCGGAAAUCGGUCGUAGAGUAUAAAGGCAAAAGCGCGCUUGACUGCGAGACAGACACGUCGAGCAGGUACGAAAGUAGGUCUUAGUGAUCCGGUGGUUCUGUAUGGAAGGGCCAUCGCUCAACGGAUAAAAGGUACUCCGGGGAUAACAGGCUGAUACCGCCCAAGAGUUCAUAUCGACGGCGGUGUUUGGCACCUCGAUGUCGGCUCAUCACAUCCUGGGGCUGAAGCCGGUCCCAAGGGUAUGGCUGUUCGCCAUUUAAAGUGGUACGCGAGCUGGGUUUAGAACGUCGUGAGACAGUUCGGUCCCUAUCUGCCGUGGACGUUUGAGAUUUGAGAGGGGCUGCUCCUAGUACGAGAGGACCGGAGUGGACGAACCUCUGGUGUUCCGGUUGUCACGCCAGUGGCAUUGCCGGGUAGCUAUGUUCGGAAAAGAUAACCGCUGAAAGCAUCUAAGCGGGAAACUUGCCUCAAGAUGAGAUCUCACUGGAACCUUGAGUUCCCUAAAGGGCCGUCGAAGACUACGACGUUGAUAGGUUGGGUGUGUAAGCGCUGUGAGGCGUUGAGCUAACCAAUACUAAUUGCCCGUGAGGCUUGACCAU